CAUGGCUAGGUUUUCCCAGGAGUUUCAUUUUGCACAGCUGACGCAUUCCAGUCAUUGUUGGGAUGCAUUUCCUUCUCCUCUUUCCUUCCAGCCCCUGGACUAUGCCAUGUGUGCAUAUACAGGCUCCUAGGAUGAACAUCCUCAAAUCCCAACCUCUCUCCCAGAAGCUGUGUCUCUACAGAACUGUGUUGGCCGAGACUGCUCUCAACUGAAUUGGGCCCAGCUCAGAGAGGCAGCUGCUGGGUAUCAACUCAGCUUCCAGGCCAUUGUAGAAAACAUAGAACCAGCCAGGAAGCCAGACUCCUGUCCUGCCCCUGCAGCCCCUGGGCCAUCGCGAAGGUAAUAAUGGCUGUUAUCCCACAUAGCAUUCAGGAACUAGAAAGUUCAAGGGCAUGGAAGGCUUAUCUGUGUCAGCCUUUUCCUUUGGUAGCUUGUAGCAAAGCUGUUAGAAGUCAGAGUGGGAAGACAGAGGAGGGAGGAGAGUGAGUUGGCUGCAGACCAUGGCCAGAUGUCCAGAAACCAAAUCAUAAUAGUCUUUUCAACUGGUGUCCUUGAAUUCCUUGAGCUAUUCAUGGAAUUCUUAUAGCCUCAAAUAUCUGUUUAUAUCAUCAGCGUCAGUUCAAAUCAUGGACUUAACGGACAGUUCGGUAGACAAUCUUCAAUUUUAUCCCAGACAAGUGCUUUAUGGUUCAAUCAAUUAUUCUGCUUAGGUGAACACUUUGGGAUUAUAUCCAUAGAUCUGUUUCCAGUAAAAAUUUAGUUUUCAGAAUGUCGCUUUACCAAUUUUCACAAGUUUAUGCUUUGGAUAUGUCUGGAUUUUGCCCCAGAUUUCUCCCCACAACAGGCAUAUGAGCACAGCUAGGGUAGAAAUGCUACAUGUUUGGUUACUUGACUCUUUCUUAUCACAGGCAACUAACUACUGUAUCCAGAGAAGUCCCUGCUAACUUGAUUGUGAUGCCUCCUUCACUGGAGACUCUAGCAGUUUGUUGACUCUUGGCAUUUACAGUUGUUUGCUUAUUGAACAGUGUCAGGUUUCUAUGGCUCCGAGUGCUGGCUCGCAUUACAGUCAAGUGGAAGCAGGAAAAUUCAGACAAAGCCUUUCAUGGAAAGACAGGCCUGCCACAAUUUCAGGUUUCUUGGUAAAUGAAUAAAGAAAAGGGAGAUGUAAUCUGUCUUGACUUUUCCAGGAUUUUGACAGAGGAAGUUGUAGACUUGGAGAUGUGGGUAGGUCAUGUUGCAACUGGAGAUCAAACCUGCCUCCUCUCUGAGCAGGUGGUGUGUGAGAAUGUUGCUGGUAGGGUAGGAGCAGAGGGAUAAGGUCAGUGUGCAGGCCCAGCGUGGAGGAAGGAGUGCUAGCAGAGAGAGGGUCACCCAACCUCGAAGAUCUGGGAACAGAAAGGUGGCAAUCCGCACUAGGAAGGCUAGGUGAGGUAUGAGAACAUCCUGGCAGAUGGGCCAAGCAUAACUAGGAGUGGUGGAAAAGAGGUAGUCAGGUGGAGAGCACCAGGCAGCCAAAAUCAUGGCACCAUCUGGGAUUACAGGAUAGCCCCUCAUCCUGAGGGGGGGACUAGAGGUUACAAGAAGAGCAGUAAAACAGAGAAAGAACCAUGGUUAAAUCCUGAAAAAUCCUGUUUUUACAGUGGCUUGGUCACAGAAGAGUGAGGAAAAGGGAACAUUGAUCUCAUCUCAGGAUUUGAAUGGGGCUAUAUAGAUUUUACUUUUUUAAUUUAUUUUUUAAGAUUUUAUUUAUUUAUUCAUGAGAGACACACAGAGAGGCAGAGGGAAAACCAGUCUCCCUGCAGGGCGCCGGAUGUGGGACUGGAUCCCAGGACCCCAGGAUUAUGACCUGAGCCAAAGGUAGAUGCUCCACCACUGAGCCACCCAGGUGGGCUAUAUAGAUUUAGUCAUUCAUCUAUUCAACAAGUUUUAAUUGAGCAUCAACUCUGUGCCUGACACUGUUCGGGCUCAGGGAGUAG
RNAcentral lists this long non-coding RNA (1976 nucleotides) under Canis lupus familiaris (dog). Its description in RNAcentral is "lncRNA (ENSCAFG00845003489.1)". Lineage: Eukaryota; Metazoa; Chordata; Mammalia; Carnivora; Canidae. The record is from RNAcentral.